RNAcentral lists this long non-coding RNA (5297 nucleotides) under Brassica napus (rape). Its description in RNAcentral is "long non-coding RNA (BNAP_LNC002775)". The record is from RNAcentral. Lineage: Eukaryota; Viridiplantae; Streptophyta; Magnoliopsida; Brassicales; Brassicaceae.
UCUUCGUCUCCAUGUUGAGCUUCCAAGAGAGAAAAAUCAAUGGUCCGGCGAUCCACACGAGCAGGCGUACCGGUCUUUAAGCGAUCUGUCUCAAACCCAAGUUGCUGCAAGUUCUCUGUCAAGCCUUGUGAAGCAGACUCGCCAGCUCUUCCAGCUGGCAUAGACUUUCUACCAACCCAAAUCUUCCCACUCAUAAAGGUUCCAGUGGUGAGAAUCACAGAAGGCGCAUAAAAGUUCAUCCCGAAAAAUGUCGCAACCCCUUCCACGUUGUCAUUCUUCCCAACAAGGAUAUCUGUUACCAUCGCCUCUCUAAUACUGAGAUUCUCAGUGCUGCCAUACCAAAAACAAAAAAAAUGCAGCUAUUACAAAACAUAUAAUUCCAAGAUUAUUAUUCCAAAAUAGCUUGUAAGUAGUAAAUUCAGUAUUUUACACAUGCUUAGAGAUUUAUAUGCAACAAAAAAAAAAAAUAGAUAUGUAAGCAAGACGUAUAGUAAUUAAGCUGACCUUUCCACAAUCUUUUUCAUCUCCAUGGCAUACUCUCUUUUGUCAGUCUGAGCACGUAAGGAUCUAACAGCAGGUCCUCUUGAGACAUUUAGAAUGCGCUUCUGUAAAUAGCAUCUGCACACCAUUAAACCGUUUCAGUAACAACAGUAACAAAGAAGAAACUAUGAUCAGUUAACAGUGUUUACUUUACACUGAAAACUACAUAUAACAACAGAGCUAGAUCUAUAAAAACUCAAUCUAAUCUCCAUUUCCUCAAUUUGUUUUGAAGAGAAGAAUCAUCAGCUGAGCUGGCGAAAACGUACCGAUCAGCGACUUUGCCAAUAUCACCACCAAGUGCAUCAACUUCAUGAACUAAUUGUGAUUUAGCUGGUCCACCAACGGCUGGAUUGCAAGGCUUUUCACGAAACAAGUAUAGUUAGUUAUCGGGAUUACCGUUGCUGCACAGUUGUGACAAGUAGUGUACAUACACAAACAAACCUGCCAAGCUAUACGAUCGAGGUUUAAGGUGAGGAGGAGAGUGCUAGCUCCCAAUCGAGCGGAGGCUAGAGCGGCUUCGCAUCCGGCGUGUCCAGCUCCAACCACAAUCACGUCGUAGUUCGAACCACCUAAAGAGAUUGAUUACUCGUUUAAGCCAAAAAGAAUUAAAUUAAAAAUCAGGAUGAGAGGUUUGGUGGUUGGGGAACCUGGUGAUGAGCUGAAGCUUGUGGCGUGAGGGCGAUUAAGGGAGAGUGUGCGAGGUCGGCAGCGUAGACGAGGAGAGUGGAGAGGGAAUGAGAUGGAGGAGAAGAGAAUAGAUGGGACAGUGGAAGAGAAGCUUCGGAGAUGCCGGAGACCUAAAGAGGUGGAGGCGGUGGUGGCUCUCAUCUCUAAACAGAAGCGGAAGUUGUGAGUGGUCGACGCAGCAAUUCAAUCGGGGAUAGAAGAUGAUUUGAGUUAUUGGAUUAGUGAAGGAAAUGGGCUAUUCUAUAAAAUGGGAAUAAGCUAAAUCCCCAAGGACCAAGCAAGAGUUUCUCUCUUCCCAACUUAAUUUAUAGUUUUGUCUAUGGUUUUUUUUGUAUACUUUCGUUGGAGAUUUCAUAUAGCAAGUAGAAUUUGGAAAACAUUUCGUUUGGAAAACAAAAAAAAUGAUAAGCUGGGUGCCAUCUGUUGUGGUCUUUAUUAGUUACUCUUAAUCUAGGUUUUGGUUUGGUUUAGAAGUAAAUUUUAAUCUUAUUAGUGAAAUUAAGUGGUGUAAGAGACGGUUCAGCUCGGGUCGUGGAAUAGAUUCGUUUUGUUGUAGUUAAAAAUACAAUGUUGUCUAAACUGGGUAGCAUAUGAUUUUUCUAAGUGUUUAUUUUGGAGUUGUAUGUGGGAUUUAGAUAUAGGUGAAGUUAAAAUUUUGUAUUCACAAUUUGGAUUAUGAAAGUUAAACUGAGAGACAGAAAAUAAAAACAUAUCCAGUAGAAAAAGUCUGUUAUGCUAAAAUUGUCUAAACCUUUUUGGCUCUUUUCUUUUAUUAUGCAGAACGUUGGAAACUUUUCGAUUCUGCUCAUGUACCGACGGUACACUACCGUCGUCGUUCUAUCCAUACCGGUUUGAUCCUCUUGAUCCUUCCUCCUUUCACCACCAAUUCUUUUUCCUUGUCUUCCACCUCAAAAUUUGGAUUUAAGACCCUCCCUAUAAAGUUUACAAAUCUCCUUCCGAACAACCUUAGCUAAUAGCUUCUGCUUCUUUAAACAGUGACAGACCAUAGAAAAUCGCAACAGAACAGACUCCAUGUACCCUUACAGUUAUCCUAAAAUCAAGUUUAAUUAAUAAAGCUGGGUUUGAGGAAACAAACAACAUUACACUCAGAAACGAGCUAACUCUCUUCUUGGCUUUCCCAUACUAGGAAUCUCAACGGCUUCCUAAUGAAACUUGAAUGUCAAAAAUCUCAUAGGAAGAACAAAAUACAUAGGUUUCAGAUGAAAUGGUGAGGAGGAUUAUUGUAAAGGGAUUUGGAGUGCAGAGAAUAUGGCUUGAAGGAAGAGAGGAUGCACAUCUUCUCCAGAGAACACCUCCAACUUCAACUUCUCCACGUGAGGCCAUAUCUACAGGACAUUGAACACACAAGUAAGAUUCUGUCAUUUCAUUAAAAUUUUACGCUCUUAACAACAUCCAACUCAAAUAACUUUUACCUCGUUCGCAUAUUGUCUUGUAAAUGCCGUAAGAUAUCCAAGUGUCGAUAAGCACCACUGUUCUCUCUCACCGAUCUCAGACUUUUUCUUUGGGUUUCCAUUUUCACUGUCCACCUCCAUCGCAGAUGAGUUUUCAUCUUCAGAUUUUAGAUCCUCCAUCGAUCUCGCUUUCGCUGGUUCUGGAAGCCGUUCUUUCAGGACUGCAGAGAAACUCUGGAACAGCAGGAGCAGUAGAGCCUAUAUGCACAAGGAAAAGUCAAUAAGGGAAUACAAAAAGAGACAGUACACUAGAAAGUUAUUUGAAUACCUCAGUUUCAGAGAGAGCUCUGUUAAGAAGAGCCUCUUUUGCCAAAGAAAACUAAAUGUAACUUGCCUUGUUAGCAUGCGGUAUGGCUCUCUGAGAUCCUUUGUGACUAAAUCGUCAAUCAAAGUGCCUAUAUAACUGCUUUCCCUCUCAAGAACAACGUGCUUCUUACCAUCGGAAUGUCUGGCAGCAUUGAUUCCAGAUAUAAUACCCUAUAUUUCAAUAAAUAACAGACCAAUGAUACAUAACCGCAGUUUUCAUUGUAUUGACAUAUAUUUUCUUUCCAUAUCAUCAGAGUAAAAUUAUUAUCAAGACCCAUCAUUAAGGAAGUUAAAGUCUGCUACAGAUCAGUCACCUGUGCGGCAGCUUCUUCGUAACCAGUUGUGCCGUUGAUCUGACCAGAGAAGAAAAGACCAUCAAUUUUCUUCGUCAUAAGGGACCUUGAACACUGAUGAGCUGGCAAAUAAUCAUACUCAACAGCAUAGGCAGGCCUUAGCAUGGCGCAAUUUUCGAGUCCUGGCAAGCUUCUUAGAAGUGGCAGCUGGAGAUUCUCCGGCAGACCAGUUGAAAAUCCCUAUGGAAAAUUUACAACUUGAUAAGAAUGAUAGUGAUUUCAGAGUACAUUGCAUUCUAAUAAAUCACUCAUAAAAAAUAUUUUAGCCUUGAAUACUUAAAAUAUCAAUGCAUAGAUUAGCCACUGAGUACUUAGCAAACAAGCUAAGAUAUCUGCUCUAGUCUUGAAAACUUAACUUACAGACCCUCACAUUAAACUACAGACAACUUCUGAGUAGUAAAAAACUUCAGGCUUGCUCUAACUAUCAAUAAAGAACAUUCCUGAAUCAUAUGUUUUAGAUAUUUUCAUAGAGACCCAAGCUAGAUUCCUUUCUUCAUCCUUAGGUUUCACACUUUUUCCCUACCAGAGAUGAUUAACAGUUAGCGAAAUCAUAACUAAGGUAUGCAUCAACCUGCACAUAGAUCUCUGGAACAUCUCGGCCCUCUGGUUCCAGGAAUAUUUGAUGCGACUCUUUGUCUUUAAACCUAACAAUCUGAAACCAAAUAAGAUAUAAAGAGUAUAAAUUUACUUAAUCAAAAGUAGUUUAUGAGAAAGAUGGUUCAACAGUUUUUUAGGUACCGACUGUAGAAAAAGUGAGUGCAAGAUUUUCAAAACAUUCCUGUUUUGUUACUCCUACAUAGCUUAACCUCAACCCAUUUUUCUUCCUAUUUCUUUUGGAGAUCUUCUUGAUUCUAUCACAAAAACUCAACAGCCCAAUUGAUCUCUUCCACCCCCUACUACUACUACUACAACACACGCUUCCGUUAGCCUUUAACUAUUAUGUAUCAUUAUUUAUGCAUCAGCAUAUGUGUGCAUGUUGGAGACGGAAAUAGUCUUAAAAUCACAUUGUCUGGCAAAUUCGGGUUUCACUAGUCUUUCUCACAAUGUGAUUCCACUCAUAAACAUUGACAAGUAUAUCAAGAACAAUCAGCUCAAUAACAUGAAAGGUAGAUGAACCAUGGCUGAUGUAACUUCCUCUCGGUCCACGAAAGAGAUAAUAACACAAAGAAAAAGAGGUAAAGCAUAUGCACAGAAAAGAAUAUACCUUGUCUUCAAUGGAAGGGCAGUACCUAGGACCCUUUGCUUCAACCCAUCCACCAUACGUUGGGGUCUCAUGCAAAUUGUCCCUGAUCAAUUGGUGUGUAAACUCUGUUGUGCGAGUCAAGUAGCAGCACAUUUGCUCUCUCUCAAUAUGAAAGUCUGGGUCGAAACUAAACCAGCUGACCUGGGAAAAGGAACAUUAAUGUUCAGCAUCUUCAAAUACAAAAGGUUCAUGAAUCACCUUGGUUAGAUACCAGAAAAAAUAAAAUAUUGUUCUAAUGAUGAGAAAUCUAUUUAUAAAGUGUACAAAACUUAAGCAAUGCCUAAGUGGCUACUCAUUGACUGAAUCGCUUUAGCCCAUGUAACCAUACCAUAAUGAUAUUUAUUUAAGUGUAAGUAAUAAUACCUCUUCGUCUCCAUGUUGAGCUUCCAAGAGAGAAAAAUCAAUGGUCCGGCGAUCCACACGAGCAGGCGUACCGGUCUUUAAGCGAUCUGUCUCAAACCCAAGUUGCUGCAAGUUCUCUGUCAAGCCUUGUGAAGCAGACUCGCCAGCUCUUCCAGCUGGCAUAGACUUUCUACCAACCCAAAUCUUCCCACUCAUAAAGGUUCCAGUGGUGAGAAUCACAGAAGGCGCAUAAAAGUUCAUCCCGAAAAAUGUCGCAACCCCUUCCACGUUGUCAUUCUUCCCAACAAGGAUAUCUGUUACCAUCGCCUCUCUAAUACUGAGAUUCUCAGUGCU